GCUCCCAGUGGAAGCAGAAGAUAGCUAUGAAGUGUCAGAAGUCUUCUUGAAGACAGAGGUUCACCAACCUGGUUGUAAAGCUGCUUGGUUUUCAGUGAAGGCCUUGCUGAUGCUCACAAUAAACAAAAUUCACUUUGAAAGAGGCAUUCCUUCAUACAGAAAAAAUCAAUUGCCUUUUAAAUUGAAUUUAUUUCUAUUAAAAUGUCAUUUCUAAGGUCACUGACAGCUGUUCUCAGAGACAGGACGUUGACCUCAGACUGGGAAGCUCCAAGAUUUGCAGUGAUGCCAUAUGGAAAUAUUUCACCAGAGACCGCUGAGAGCCUUCCAGUGCCUCCCUGAGACUCUGUCCUCUACCCAGGAAGGCAAAAACAUUCUCCUGCAGUUGGAUGGGGAAGAACCAGAGCUGCUCAGCUACUGAAGCCCAGACAACCAUAGGAUUUACUUCUUCUGAAGACCCAGUGGUGCACACAAAGAAAUACAAGUGUGGAUUUAGACAUCUACGAAGCUCUGAACUCUGCUCCUGCCGAGAGGAAAUCAUUACCCACAUCAGUUCCCUGAAAGGGGAGGGCGCCGGGCAGGAGAAGCACAAACACCACGGAAAAACCCUAAAGCGCUUGUUAUGAAUAAAAUGUCUAGCCCAGCUUUAAUCAUGGAACAGAAUGGCUCACAACAACAUAGGACUCCUGUUUAUGAUACGGACAGACACUUUUUUCCCCCCAGGAGAGUUUUAUUUUAGGUGAUAAAAACAAGGAGAAAACACUGAAAAAGUCAGGGGAAAGUAACAGGCUCCUCAGCAGCACAAGUGCCAGUUUGCACCUGGGCAGUGUGGAGAAGAAAAGGAGCUUCACAGUGGCCUGACCUUUUUAAAGCUUCCCUUCCGUUCCCAAAUGCGGGCUUAGCUGGUUGUCCGAAAUGAGCUGCUUGGAGAAGCCCAGAGAGACUGCUGAACCAGGAAAAGGGCACGCGGGUGGCUGGCUAGGGGCAGUAUUGCCCUUGGGUGCUCCCUAUGCAGACAGUGAGAGAGAGGGGGACCAUCUGAUGGGGUGAUGGCACCCACCCGCUGCUUGGCCACAGACUCCUCUCUGCAGGGAAAUUUUCAGUGAUUUUCUUCCUAGCACUGCUACAGGCCAUGGAGCUGCCACACGUGAUGUCAGGGGACACCAAUUCCCUUCCUUUUCAUGAAAGGCUGAAGGGGAAUAUUUAAGCCAUCAUGACUGACACAGAAGCCAAGGCUGUGCCAAAAGCACCACCUUGACAAUCUUUUCCACUCUCUCCUUUCAGAACAGUCAAGCAAACUCUUCCUCCCAGAAAUCGCCUGAAAUU
Molecule: long non-coding RNA, 1323 nt
Filed under: Apteryx owenii (little spotted kiwi)
Lineage: Eukaryota; Metazoa; Chordata; Aves; Apterygiformes; Apterygidae
Description: lncRNA (ENSAOWG00000001909.1)
Source: RNAcentral